This 247-nucleotide long non-coding RNA is filed under the name Ananas comosus (pineapple). RNAcentral describes it as "long non-coding RNA (ACOM_LNC003444)". Lineage: Eukaryota; Viridiplantae; Streptophyta; Magnoliopsida; Poales; Bromeliaceae. The record is from RNAcentral.
CUUCAUGAACGGCGUCGUGGAUUCGGCAUGAACGAAGGCGGUUCGUGGAUUCGAAUCGUGGGCUCGUGGAUUCGAGUGGGCGUCGUGGAUUCGACGUGAUCGAGGCUUCGUGGAUUCGAAGUGGUGACGUUUCGUGGAUUCGGGACGUGACGUUCGUGGAGUCGGACGUGGGGCGUGGACAACCCAUUGGUGUGCGCGAGAUCCGGAGAAGAUAAAAAGAGAGGUUUGAGUCCGUGGAUUCGGUAAU